GAGACUCUGUGCGCGUGCAUAUCAAUAAGCGGAGGAAAAGAAACUAACAAGGAUUCCCCUAGUAACGGCGAGUGAAGCGGGAAGAGCUCAAAUUUGAAAUCUUCAAGGGUUUCCCUUUACGAAUUGUAGUUUAAAGAAGUGUUUUCUGUUAGAGAGUUCGGUAAAAGUUCUUUGGAAUAGGACAUCAUAGAGGGUGAGAAUCCCGUAUUUGAUCGUACUUUCUACUAGCUGUUGUGAUACACUUUCAAAGAGUCGGAUUGUUUGGGAAUGCAGUCCAAAAUGGGUGGUAAAUUUCAUCUAAAGCUAAAUAUUGGCGAGAGACCGAUAGCGAACAAGUACCGUGAGGGAAAGAUGAAAAGAACUUUGAAAAGAGAGUUAAACAGUACGUGAAAUUGUCAAAAGGGAAGCGUUUGACACCAGUGUUGUUUAGUUGAAAAUCAAUUCAAUAAUUUUUGAUUCUAAGUAGUAUUGACUUCAUCAGCUUGCUGCUUUCUUCUCAGAAAAUUAUUGAAUGCACUUUUCAGUUAACAAGUCAACAUCAAUUUCUUUUGUUGUAAAAGGGUAAGAGGAAGGUGGCUUACGCUUCGGCGUCAAGUGUUUAUAGCCUUUUAUCCUCUGCAAUCGGAGAGAUUGAGGUCAUGCAGCGUAGACUCCUUCGGGGUUAGAUACACUUGUGCUAAGCUAUAGCCUUGUAUAGACAACUUGUUGACUAUGCUCAGUCAUGUAGCUUACUCGCAUGUGCUAUUUUACCUACGCUUAGGAUGUUGACGAUCAGCUGAGCGCG
This 784-nucleotide ribosomal RNA is filed under the name uncultured Neocallimastigales. RNAcentral's name for it is "partial large subunit ribosomal RNA". It matches the Rfam family "Eukaryotic large subunit ribosomal RNA", at positions 23 to 646 of the family's 3401-position model. Lineage: Eukaryota; Fungi; Neocallimastigomycota; Neocallimastigomycetes; Neocallimastigales. The record is from RNAcentral.